RNAcentral lists this ribosomal RNA (254 nucleotides) under uncultured bacterium. RNAcentral's name for it is "partial 16S ribosomal RNA". It matches the Rfam family "Bacterial small subunit ribosomal RNA", at positions 524 to 776 of the family's 1533-position model. The record is from RNAcentral.
GACGAACCGUGCAAACGUUAUUCGGAAUCACUGGGCUUAAAGCGCGUGUAGGCGGGCCCCUGCGUCGGCCGCUGAAAGCCCCCGGCUCAACCGGGGAAGCGGCGCCGAUACGAGCGGCCUGGAGGGGGGUAGGGGGACCUGGAACUUCCGGUGGAGCGGUGAAAUGCGUUGAGAUCGGAAGGAACGCCCGUGGCGAAAGCGAGGUCCUGGACCCUUUCUGACGCUGAGACGCGAAAGCCAGGGGAGCGAACGGG